UGACAUGUCCGUCGGAGCCCAAGCGAAAAUAUCCGCAUUCUUUUGUAGAAAAUUGAUAAGCUGUGUCCGCACCUCUUUCCCCAAGUUGGAGCCGAUCUUCACCACGUGCUCUUCAUUCCCAUCAUUCAAAGGAAUUGAGACAAGAUCUUCUAUUGGCUCACCCCGUUCUUCAGUCAGGUCAUCGCGAGUGUCCAAUCCAUCAACCGGACAGGGGUUAGGCUGAUCGUUUCUUUGUAGGGCUAUGUUAUAGCAAUGUCUUGUCAGGACUUGAUCUCCUCUGACUUUUUCGACCCCCUGGCUAGUAAAAAAUUUUAAUUUCAAAUGGUAGGUCGAU
This 334-nucleotide long non-coding RNA is filed under the name Elaeis guineensis (African oil palm). RNAcentral's name for it is "long non-coding RNA (EGUI_LNC053680)". The record is from RNAcentral. Lineage: Eukaryota; Viridiplantae; Streptophyta; Magnoliopsida; Arecales; Arecaceae.